AUGGCCCAGCUUUACCCUCUGGAUCUAGCAAAAACAAGAAGAAGAAAUAUCCCAAAUAAAAGAAUUGUUGAGCUUGCUGAGUACCCAUCCAUGAAUCUAAAAAGGAAGAAAGCAACUAUAUCUAUCAUGAAAUGGGGAGGAGAAAUGCCAGAAUAUGACUCCUUGACAGAAACUUGGAUAGUAAUGGAAGGAUUACCCCCAAAGUGGAUAAGCUGGAGUGUUAUAGCUCAAGUGGCAUCCAUUUUAGGGGUUCUGGUUAAUAUUGAUUGGCACAUGAUAUUUACAAGCUUUUAUGAGAAAGUGAGAAUUCAAGUUGCAGUCAGAGACCCCAGCAAAAUACCUACUGAUAGAGUGGUGGAAAUUCAGCACGAGCUGUAUCUGUUGAGGUUUGCAGUGAAAAAAGAUGCUAAAGAAAGCUCCAACUCUGACAACCCAUCUGACCCUGCUAGCAAUAAGAUUGAGGACACCAAUGUCAACAGUGAUGAUGAUCUACUGGGAGAAGAAAUGGAAACUGAGAUGGAAAAGUCUGGGAAAAAUAUUAAUACCCCAAGGCCCUCUGCUGCUCCUAGAGGAUCCAAAUCAAAUAGCAACAAAACUCCUGGGGCUACUAUUGAGAUUACUACAGGCUCAAAAAAUCAGAGAGCUCCACUGACCAAAAGCUAUUUGGAAGUGGUCCAGAAGAAAACUAGAGAUGAUUUUGGAGAAAGGUUGCUACCUAGCUUUGAAGCUGUUGUAAAUCAAAGUCAUGACAAGGCUGUUGGUCUAAAAAAACAAAACUGCUGUGAAGUGGGGGCCUAUAGAAGCCACCAGAAUGAGUGA
This 819-nucleotide ribosomal RNA is filed under the name Triticum aestivum (bread wheat). RNAcentral describes it as "partial small subunit ribosomal RNA". Lineage: Eukaryota; Viridiplantae; Streptophyta; Magnoliopsida; Poales; Poaceae. The record is from RNAcentral.